RNAcentral lists this ribosomal RNA (464 nucleotides) under uncultured bacterium. RNAcentral's name for it is "partial 16S ribosomal RNA". It matches the Rfam family "Bacterial small subunit ribosomal RNA", at positions 28 to 507 of the family's 1533-position model. The record is from RNAcentral.
GACGAACGCUGGCGGCGUGCUUAACACAUGCAAGUCGAACGGAAAGGCCCCUUUGGGGGUACUCGAGUGGCGAACGGGUGAGUAACACGUGAGUAACCUGCCCUUGACUUCGGGAUAACUUCAGGAAACUGGGGCUAAUACCGGAUAGGAAUCCUUGCUGCAUGGUGGGGGUUGGAAAGCUUCGGCGGUUUUGGAUGGACUCGCGGCUUAUCAGCUUGUUGGUGGGGUAGUGGCUCACCAAGGCUUUGACGGGUAGCCGGCCUGAGAGGGCGACCGGCCACAUUGGGACUGAGAUACGGCCCAGACUCCUACGGGAGGCAGCAGUGGGGAAUAUUGCACAAUGGGCGGAAGCCUGAUGCAGCAACGCCGCGUGCGGGAUGACGGCCUUCGGGUUGUAAACCGCUUUCAGCAGGGGCGAAGCUUUUGUGACGGUACCUGCAGAAGAAGCACCGGCUAACUACGUG